This 1286-nucleotide long non-coding RNA is filed under the name Linum usitatissimum (flax). RNAcentral's name for it is "long non-coding RNA (LUSI_LNC007349)". The record is from RNAcentral. Lineage: Eukaryota; Viridiplantae; Streptophyta; Magnoliopsida; Malpighiales; Linaceae.
UCAGUUUAUUCAUGAGAAAGUAACAGCUGGAAUGAUCGAAGUGGAGUACAAAGGUUGAGUAAGAGGGUAGAUGUAAUCUGAAUACAAACAACGGCAAAGAAGGACAAGAUCAGAAUUCAGAAAACGCAUAAAUCAUAAAUUGACGAAAACAAAAGUACAACCAUCUUUGGAGAGAGAGUGAGGAUGCAUAGAAGUACAUCAUGAGCAAUCAAAAUGAAGAUGCAUAUUGGACAAUCAAAGCCAACUAGUCACACUAUAUAUUUUAUUGGUGAUACAACAGACUAGUGAAAGACUGGUCGUGCUCUGGGUUGCUAUGUGGCGACGUUGGCUGCUACGGUUUCUUGAACCCCGUUGGUUAGCAACACUUCAGUUGGUAGCUAAUAGACAUCGGAUCUAAGAUCAGCGGAGAAGAGACGAUAGACAGGGAAACCGAAUCGGAGGUGGGGAGAUCAUGGAAAUGGCCUUCGUUGAAUGAGAUCUGCGACAAUAACACGAUAUCGACGAUUUAGGAAAAAAACUCGAACAGUACCAAAAAACGGCGACGGCAAUUUCACCACCAACAGAAACCCUUAAUUGGUUACCUGUCUUCCAAGGUUGGGUAGAUCGGCUACACAACUGCGGCCGUAUGGAAGGAAAUCAGGGUUUAAAUCAUUAAAAAAAUACACCAAAUCAAAGAUUGAAUAUUAAAAACAUGAACUAGUACCAUCGACGACGACACUGGUGGUUACCUGGCGUCAGAAGACUAACUGCUCGCCUAUGAAAUAUUGUAGUCGCCGGAUCGGGAAAAAAAAUUGGGGGGCGACAGAGAUUGAAGAAUGGGAAGAGAGGUAGGGUUUUGAGAGUAUUAAAUACCUUAAAUGUCAACCUUAAGAUGUACUUUAGAUCAACGGCUACAAUGCAUCAUCUAUUUUAUAGAUACUUUGUUUCAUCUAUUGAUAUGGAUUCCCGAAUAUCAUGUGAAUAAGUAGUUAGCUGUAAUUAGGCUUGUUAGUACUUAGUAGAUAACUCCCACUUAGAUAUAAUUCUUAUUGACGUUCUUUAACGUGUACUACCAAGGAUGGUACUUAAUCUCCAAUAAAGGGAGUUGUUUUCUUAUCAAUAACAAUUACCAGCAAGAGGCUCAACAAAGUUCAUUUGUGGGGACUCAAGUUCUAUUGGUUUGGUACAAUAACUGAAGGUUGAACAAUGAGCAUUUCUGGGGCAGUUUUUUAUUUUCUGAAUACUACACGGUGCAAAAUUGUUAGUUUUUGGCUUGGCUCAGUUUGAUAUGUGUCUUGUUCUGUAGG